UACGAAUGGUGCAAGCGUUAAUCGGAAUUACUGGGCGUAAAGCGCGCGUAGGUGGUUUGUUAAGUUGGAUGUGAAAGCCCCGGGCUCAACCUGGGAACUGCAUCCAAAACUGGCAAGCUAGAGUAUGGCAGAGGGUGGUGGAAUUUCCUGUGUAGCGGUGACAGGCGGAGAUAUAGGAAGGAACACCAGUGGCGAAGGCGACCACCUGGGCUAAUACGGACACUGAGGUGCGAACGCGUGGGGAGCAAACAGUAUUAGAUACCCCUGGAGUCC
This 273-nucleotide ribosomal RNA is filed under the name uncultured bacterium. Its description in RNAcentral is "partial 16S ribosomal RNA". It matches the Rfam family "Bacterial small subunit ribosomal RNA", at positions 524 to 796 of the family's 1533-position model. The record is from RNAcentral.